GAUGAACGCUGGCGGUAUGCUUAACACAUGCAAGUCGAACGGACUCUUCGGAGUUAGUGGCGGACGGGUGAGUAACGCGUGAGAAUCUGGCUUUGGGUUCGGGACAACCACUGGAAACGGUGGCUAAUACCGGAUGUGCCGAGAGGUAAAAGAGAAAUUGCCUGAAGAUGAGCUCGCGUCUGAUUAGCUAGUUGGUGAGGUAAAGGCUCACCAAGGCAGCGAUCAGUAGCUGGUCUGAGAGGAUGACCAGCCACACUGGGACUGAGACACGGCCCAGACUCCUACGGGAGGCAGCAGUGGGGAAUUUUCCGCAAUGGGCGAAAGCCUGACGGAGCAAUACCGCGUGAGGGAAGAAGGCUCUUGGGUUGUAAACCUCUUUUCUUAGGGAAGAACAAAAUGACGGUACCCAAGGAAUCAGCAUCGGCUAACUCCGUG
RNAcentral lists this ribosomal RNA (435 nucleotides) under uncultured bacterium. RNAcentral describes it as "partial 16S ribosomal RNA". It matches the Rfam family "Bacterial small subunit ribosomal RNA", at positions 28 to 507 of the family's 1533-position model. The record is from RNAcentral.